This 558-nucleotide small RNA is filed under the name Pongo abelii (Sumatran orangutan). Its description in RNAcentral is "retained intron". Lineage: Eukaryota; Metazoa; Chordata; Mammalia; Primates; Hominidae. The record is from RNAcentral.
AGACCAUCCAAGAAGACAGUGCAGCCACCUCUGAGAGCCUGGAUGUGAUGGCGUCACAGAAGAGACCCUCCCAGAGGCACGGAUCCAAGUACCUGGCCACAGCAAGUACCAUGGACCAUGCCAGGCAUGGCUUCCUCCCAAGGCACAGAGACACGGGCAUCCUUGACUCCAUUGGGCGCUUCUUUGGCGGUGACAGGGGUGCGCCCAAGCGGGGCUCUGGCAAGGACUCACACCAUGCAGCAAGAACUGCUCACUACGGCUCCCUGCCCCAGAAGUCACACGGCCGGACCCAAGAUGAAAACCCCGUAGUCCACUUCUUCAAGAACAUUGUAAGUGAUGAUCAAUGGGAAGAGGUAGCAACUGUGAGGGGGAGGAGGGGUGCUGGCCACUGCUGUCAUCCACACAGGACGUUCGUACGUUUGGGAGUGGCACCGGGGUCCUCCUCAGGGUGAGGCUGGCCGGGGAACUCACCACUCGCACCUGAUCACAAGUUCCAGACAUCGCUUCCCGACGGUAUCUGCCACGGAUUGCACUGUGCAUGCCGUGCGUUCUCCAGAG